RNAcentral lists this ribosomal RNA (506 nucleotides) under uncultured bacterium. RNAcentral's name for it is "partial 16S ribosomal RNA". It matches the Rfam family "Bacterial small subunit ribosomal RNA", at positions 28 to 523 of the family's 1533-position model. The record is from RNAcentral.
GAUGAACGCUAGCUACAGGCUUAACACAUGCAAGUCGAGGGGUAACGAGAGGAAAGCUUGCUUUCCUUGUCGACGACCGGCGCACGGGUGAGUAACGCGUAUCCAACCUGCCCCCAACUAAGGAAUAACCUUGCGAAAGUAAGACUAAUACCUUAUAAUUUCCUCAGAUGUCAUCUGACGAGGAAUAAAGAUUUAUCGGUUGUGGAUGGGGAUGCGUCUGAUUAGCUUGUUGGCGGGGUAACGGCCCACCAAGGCAACGAUCAGUAGGGGUUCUGAGAGGAAGGUCCCCCAUAUUGGAGCUGAGACACGGUCCAAACUCCUACGGGAGGCAGCAGUGAGGAAUAUUGGUCAAUGGGCGGAAGCCUGAACCAGCCAAGUAGCGUGCAGGAUGACGGCCCUAUGGGUUGUAAACUGCUUUUAUACAGGAAUAAAGUUAGCCACGUGUGGUUAUUUGUAGGUACUGUAUGAAUAAGGACCGGCUAAUUCCGUGCCAGCAGCCGCAGUAA